AUUCGAUCAGUAAGAAAACAGAGGUAACGGCAACGGUCGAUCUCGUUUGGCUUUCUGUGGAAUUAUUUUCUUUGGAGGAAGAAAAAUAGACCAGUGUAACCGGAAAUAUAGUAUGUAAAAUGAACUACAAGAUGACGUACCUAAAUGGAUUCGGGCCAGGGUGCAGCAUUGUUUAGAGGGUCUUGAACGUGUCAGUUGCAGUGCUGUCUAUGCAGGGUCUCUGACGGACCGAUGGCGAUUUAACAUGUUGAAAUGGGCAAACUGCCGCUGACAUGAGCCUGAUGUUAGCCUGACGAAGGACAACGAGUGGAACACACCAAACAAACUGGCCCGAAGUUG
Molecule: long non-coding RNA, 339 nt
Organism: Labeo rohita (rohu)
Lineage: Eukaryota; Metazoa; Chordata; Actinopteri; Cypriniformes; Cyprinidae
Exons: 3
Source: RefSeq, a predicted model, not a curated record